RNAcentral lists this ribosomal RNA (332 nucleotides) under Pectobacterium carotovorum subsp. carotovorum. RNAcentral describes it as "bacterial SSU rRNA". It matches the Rfam family "Bacterial small subunit ribosomal RNA", at positions 1154 to 1485 of the family's 1533-position model. Lineage: Bacteria; Pseudomonadati; Pseudomonadota; Gammaproteobacteria; Enterobacterales; Pectobacteriaceae. The record is from RNAcentral.
GGUGAUAAACCGGAGGAAGGUGGGGAUGACGUCAAGUCAUCAUGGCCCUUACGAGUAGGGCUACACACGUGCUACAAUGGCGUAUACAAAGAGAAGCGACCUCGCGAGAGUAAGCGGACCUCAUAAAGUACGUCGUAGUCCGGAUUGGAGUCUGCAACUCGACUCCAUGAAGUCGGAAUCGCUAGUAAUCGUAGAUCAGAAUGCUACGGUGAAUACGUUCCCGGGCCUUGUACACACCGCCCGUCACACCAUGGGAGUGGGUUGCAAAAGAAGUAGGUAGCUUAACCUUCGGGAGGGCGCUUACCACUUUGUGAUUCAUGACUGGGGUGAAG